Molecule: long non-coding RNA, 422 nt
Organism: Drosophila miranda
Lineage: Eukaryota; Metazoa; Arthropoda; Insecta; Diptera; Drosophilidae
Exons: 3
Source: RefSeq, a predicted model, not a curated record
AGAAGCUGAGGCAGCUGGUGCAUUAUGUCGGGCCUUAAAACGGCCAACCUACGCAUACUCGCGCGGUGCAGGCAACUCAGUUGCCUGACAUGGUAACUCCGUCGCCAUCCAUCUUGAGCCGGUGAGAGGAGGAGAGAAACUCACCCCGGGAGCUUCCCAUGGCAGAUUGCUUUAAAAUCCUGAUUGACGACCUUCUUGGGUUUGGACACGGUCUGCUCGGGCCAGGAGUCCAGAGUAAAGCUCAGUAGGCAUCGCGCCCAUAGGCCAGUCACUUCACUCAGUGGCUGCUACCGCCGACGCGGAAGAAAAGAACCGCCAGCCUGGAUCGGAGGCGGGCACAACGAGGUGGAGCUCGACCUGCCCUGAUAGCCAGAACGGUACCUCGUCAGCCCAGGGCCUAUUCCAAACGCGGUGCAAACACA